CAGUGAUUUAUUAAUGGCCGCAGUAUUUUGACUGUGCGAAGGUAGCAUAAUCAUUAGUUUUUUAAUUGAAAGCUUGUAUGAAUGGUUGGACGAGAUAAAUACUGUCUCUUUUUAAUUUUUAGAAUUUAAUUUUUUAGUAAAAAAGCUAAAAUUAUAUUAAAAGACGAGAAGACCCUUUAAAGCUUUAUAUAUUUUAUUAUUAUUAUUUUUAAGAUUUUUUUUUAUUUUUAAUAAAAAAAUAUAUUUGAUUGGGGAAAUUAAAAGAUUUAAUUAAUUCUUUUUUAUUUCUAUACAAUUAUAUUUGAUUAUUUGAUCCAUUUUUAUUGAUUAUAAGGUUAAGUUACUUAAGGGAUAACAGCGUAAUUCUUUUGGGGAGUUCAUAUCUAUAAAAGAGUUUGCGACCUCGAUGUUGGAUUAAAAUUUAAUUUGGGUGUAGAAGUUCAAUAUUUUUGGUCUGUUCGACCAUUAAAAUUUUAC
This 477-nucleotide ribosomal RNA is filed under the name Suphisellus cf. lineatus SMB-2016. RNAcentral describes it as "partial 16S ribosomal RNA". The stretch from base 351 to 477 matches the Rfam family "Bacterial large subunit ribosomal RNA", at positions 2473 to 2599 of the family's 2925-position model. Lineage: Eukaryota; Metazoa; Arthropoda; Insecta; Coleoptera; Noteridae. The record is from RNAcentral.